Molecule: transfer RNA, 37 nt
Filed under: Zygaena truchmena
Lineage: Eukaryota; Metazoa; Arthropoda; Insecta; Lepidoptera; Zygaenidae
Description: partial transfer RNA-Ser
Source: RNAcentral
AAAACUUAAGAAAGAAUUAUUAUUAUUCUAUUAAUUU